RNAcentral lists this ribosomal RNA (1699 nucleotides) under Salmonella enterica subsp. enterica serovar Enteritidis. RNAcentral describes it as "partial 23S ribosomal RNA". It matches the Rfam family "Bacterial large subunit ribosomal RNA", at positions 1254 to 2925 of the family's 2925-position model. The record is from RNAcentral. Lineage: Bacteria; Pseudomonadati; Pseudomonadota; Gammaproteobacteria; Enterobacterales; Enterobacteriaceae.
AGGUGGCCUGUGAGGGUUGCUGGAGGUAUCAGAAGUGCGAAUGCUGACAUAAGUAACGAUAAAGCGGGUGAAAAGCCCGCUCGCCGGAAGACCAAGGGUUCCUGUCCAACGUUAAUCGGGGCAGGGUGAGUCGACCCCUAAGGCGAGGCCGAAAGGCGUAGUCGAUGGGAAACGGGUUAAUAUUCCCGUACUUGGUGUUACUGCGAAGGGGGGACGGAGAAGGCUAUGUUGGCCGGGCGACGGUUGUCCCGGUUUAAGCGUGUAGGUGUGUGUUCCAGGUAAAUCCGGUUCACUUUAACACUGAGGCGUGACGACGAGGCACUACGGUGCUGAAGCAACAAAUGCCCUGCUUCCAGGAAAAGCCUCUAAGCAUCAGGUAACAUCAAAUCGUACCCCAAACCGACACAGGUGGUCAGGUAGAGAAUACCAAGGCGCUUGAGAGAACUCGGGUGAAGGAACUAGGCAAAAUGGUGCCGUAACUUCGGGAGAAGGCACGCUGACACGUAGGUGAAGUGAUUUACUCAUGGAGCUGAAGUCAGUCGAAGAUACCAGCUGGCUGCAACUGUUUAUUAAAAACACAGCACUGUGCAAACACGAAAGUGGACGUAUACGGUGUGACGCCUGCCCGGUGCCGGAAGGUUAAUUGAUGGGGUCAGCGCAAGCGAAGCUCCUGAUCGAAGCCCCGGUAAACGGCGGCCGUAACUAUAACGGUCCUAAGGUAGCGAAAUUCCUUGUCGGGUAAGUUCCGACCUGCACGAAUGGCGUAAUGAUGGCCAGGCUGUCUCCACCCGAGACUCAGUGAAAUUGAACUCGCUGUGAAGAUGCAGUGUACCCGCGGCAAGACGGAAAGACCCCGUGAACCUUUACUAUAGCUUGACACUGAACAUUGAGCCUUGAUGUGUAGGAUAGGUGGGAGGCUUUGAAGUGUGGACGCCAGUCUGCAUGGAGCCGACCUUGAAAUACCACCCUUUAAUGUUUGAUGUUCUAACGUGGACCCGUUACCCGGGUUGCGGACAGUGUCUGGUGGGUAGUUUGACUGGGGCGGUCUCCUCCUAAAGAGUAACGGAGGAGCACGAAGGUUGGCUAAUCCUGGUCGGACAUCAGGAGGUUAGUGCAAUGGCAUAAGCCAGCUUGACUGCGAGCGUGACGGCGCGAGCAGGUGCGAAAGCAGGUCAUAGUGAUCCGGUGGUUCUGAAUGGAAGGGCCAUCGCUCAACGGAUAAAAGGUACUCCGGGGAUAACAGGCUGAUACCGCCCAAGAGUUCAUAUCGACGGCGGUGUUUGGCACCUCGAUGUCGGCUCAUCACAUCCUGGGGCUGAAGUAGGUCCCAAGGGUAUGGCUGUUCGCCAUUUAAAGUGGUACGCGAGCUGGGUUUAGAACGUCGUGAGACAGUUCGGUCCCUAUCUGCCGUGGGCGCUGGAGAACUGAGGGGGGCUGCUCCUAGUACGAGAGGACCGGAGUGGACGCAUCACUGGUGUUCGGGUUGUCAUGCCAAUGGCACUGCCCGGUAGCUAAAUGCGGAAGAGAUAAGUGCUGAAAGCAUCUAAGCACGAAACUUGCCCCGAGAUGAGUUCUCCCUGAGACUUAGAGUCUCCUGAAGGAACGUUGAAGACGACGACGUUGAUAGGCCGGGUGUGUAAGCGCAGCGAUGCGUUGAGCUAACCGGUACUAAUGAACCGUGAGGCUUAACCUUACAACG